GACGAACGCUGGCGGCGUGCUUAACACAUGCAAGUCGAACGGUGAAGCGAGUGCUUGCACUCGUGGAUCAGUGGCGAACGGGUGAGUAACACGUGAGUAACCUGCCCAUCACUCUGGGAUAAGCACUGGAAACGGUGUCUAAUACUGGAUACGACCAACCCUUGCAUGGGGUGUUGGUGGAAAGAUUUAUCGGUGAUGGAUGGACUCGCGGCCUAUCAGCUUGUUGGCGGGGUAAUGGCCCACCAAGGCGACGACGGGUAGCCGGCCUGAGAGGGUGACCGGCCACAAUGGGACUGAGACACGGCCCCGACUCCUACGGGAGGCAGCAGUGGGGAAUAUUGCACAAUGGGCGAAAGCCUGAUGCAGCGACGCCGCGUGAGGGAUGACGGCCUUCGGGUUGUAAACCUCUUUCAGCAGGGAAGAAGCGAAAGUGACGGUACCUGCAGAAGAAGCACCGGCUAACUACGUG
This 469-nucleotide ribosomal RNA is filed under the name uncultured bacterium. RNAcentral describes it as "partial 16S ribosomal RNA". It matches the Rfam family "Bacterial small subunit ribosomal RNA", at positions 28 to 507 of the family's 1533-position model. The record is from RNAcentral.